RNAcentral lists this ribosomal RNA (253 nucleotides) under uncultured bacterium. RNAcentral describes it as "partial 16S ribosomal RNA". It matches the Rfam family "Bacterial small subunit ribosomal RNA", at positions 524 to 776 of the family's 1533-position model. The record is from RNAcentral.
UACGUAGGGUGCGAGCGUUAAUCGGAAUUACUGGGCGUAAAGCGUGCGCAGGCGGUUCGUUAAGUUCGUCGUGAAAGCCCCGGGCUCAACCUGGGAACUGCGCUUGAUACUGUCGAGCUAGAGUGUGGAAGGGGCGAUUGGAAUUCCGUGUGUAGCGGUGAAAUGCGUAGAUAUACGGAGGAACACCAGAGGCGAAGGCGGAUCGCUGGGCCAACACUGACGCUGAGACGCGAAAGCUAGGGUAGCAAACGGG